GCACGAGGAAAAAACAGAGAAAAAGGGCGGCAGGGAGUGGGUGUGUCUCCCCCGUCUCCCCCGCGACCCUCAUCCGUUCUUGCCGCCGCCGGCUCCUCUCCUCUCCCCACAUCUCGUCUGCCUCCCUCUCCCUCGUCUCCUCUCUCGCACCGCCAGCCCCUUUUCUCUCUCGCCCCAGCCGUCUUUGUCCUCUCCUGCGCCGCCAGCCCCGGAUCUGGAGGAGGAAGAGGAGAACCGGGCGUCUCGGCGGUGGCUCGACCGGCGGGCACAGAGGCGUGCUUCUCCGGUGGCGGCCAACAGCGGCGUCGGCGGCGCGGGUUGAUUCACCGCCUGAAGCGACCAACGGCCAGCGAGGAAGACGACUUGAGGUGAGCCGCCACACCGGUGCUUCUGCUUGAAUCUCUUCAGCGGGGUUUCCAGCGCAGCAAGAACAUGAUGACCAAGUUCAACAGCCUCAUAUCACGCUACAUUAGGAGCUUGAGAGAGUCCGGAGGCCUUCCCAAUCCAAUGAUGCCUCAUCCUCUUCGCCACGUUGUCGCCCUGGCCACCUCUUCGCAGACCAUGGGCAGCCUGACGUGAGUGCAGUCGACGGCUGGCCACUCCAAGCACUCUACUUUCCAUCGACGCUGACAGCCACAGCGGGAUGGAUACAACCGCCAAGAUGCAGAGUGGUUGUCGACGGCGUUGGUUUGCUGCCAAGCUGCAGGUGAGAAGGUGAUGCGACGGUGAUUAGUUUAACAUUGAUUUGUUUAAUGCAUGCCAUUUUUGUUUGAGCAUCUUCAGUAUUAACUUGAGUUAAUGGCUUGUCAGUUUGCUAAUUGGAGUCUUAUGAUUGUUAGGCAGAUUGUAGAUUAGUAAAUCUUAUGUGCGUCACCAGUUAAAUCUCGAACGUUAGAGAAUGAUCCUGAUAAUGCACACUAGUUUUUCUCAUUUACAAAUAGUUUUUUUAAGGGUCACACUUACACAUGUUGUGUUCAGAUGUUAAUUGAACAUUGGGUGAAUUAAAUAUAUAUAUCUCAACUACUAUUGAUAUUCAUGGCUAAAACCAAAUUUCUUAUUUAAAUUUAUUGCCCAUGUACAUGCGGCGCUGCUUGUGGAUCUCCACAGUUCACGACAACUUUGCUGCAACUCACAAUAGAGCUCAGAUGCCACCAAAUAUUGUUGCUGAGCUGAAUAAAUGUUGAAGAAUCUUUACGGGAGAGAAAAUUGAUACCAUUCAAAUUUAUAACACUACAAACCCGAAAACACAUACACUAUUUGUUAUCCUAGAAAUUCCAUUCCUAUAAAGAAAGGACUACCAUUCAUGGGUAUGUAUGCCUUUGUAUGUUUCUACUCCUGCAUGAAAAAAUGUGUUAAUACUUGGUACUUUUCUUCUAACUGAAAUAUAGCUCCAGUUCAGAUAUUAGUUACUUUAUGACUGCUUCUUAAAUUUAGUACAUUUGUUUUUUAUGCCCUCUUUCUGGGGUUGAAAAUAUGUAAAUCGAUUCAUCUUGAGCUAGCUUGUCAUUGUGUUUCUAAAUUGAAAGGUCUGUGAUUGAUUAUAUAUUCAUCCAAACAUGUGUGUGGUCUAUUUCCUUUGCAUGCGUCAGCAUAUGUAUGUUGUUCUUACUGUCUUUACAAUGCUUAUUUUGUGAAGGACCCACUUGCCUGAUGGUGAUCGUGAUGAAAUAUUGCUUUUUUCAUACAAGUUGAUGAUACAGUUUGCACAUGGCAAAAAUAAAUAAAUUGUAACGCUAUCUAUUUUACCAGGUCGUGAGCGUGGUUGCAAAUUAUGCACUGCUCCUGCUGGUUACAAGCCUUCAUCUCUACAAAAAUAUGCAGUGAGGUUGCUUGGUUCCUGACAGGGAUUGAUGUAGUUUGCUUCCCGUCAGAGAUUGAAGUUCCUAGGAGAUUACUAUCGAGAAACUCAGAUACUGGUGGCAUCCGAUGGGACAAAUUCGGCUGGUCUCUAUCCGAGAGGAGAGAUCCGGGGAAUGUGUGUUGAGGCUCUCAUCAUGUUGGUACAUUGUGAAUGUUCCAUCAAGUUGUGGAUGGCUCUGAGGCAUGUGACACCAAUGAUAGAUACUCCUGCCGUGUCAUGAAGCAUUAAGUGCUACAAAAAUAUUUCACAGGGGUAAUUGUUUCUAUUCUUUACCAAUCUACCAUGUCAGAUGUUGUUUUAUUAUUGUUUGUUCUUCGUAGGCAUAGCCUAUUAAUUAUUCACUUGUCCGUAGGUAUGUAUCAUGGCUCUAAGUCACGCACAUGAGAUUUGAGACUUUUUUGGGGGCUAAUGAUAAAUAUUGUUGGUGAUAAGGAGUGUAUGCUUAUGUGUUGUACUUUUCAUUAUCCAAUAUAUGGUUAAUAUUUAUCAUUGUCAAAAGAGUGCACCUCGGGAUAAUGGCUGCAAAAUAUUUUUCCUAUAUUAUUAUGUACUUCAACCUUUUCAUAUUUCAAAGUGGUUGUGAGAAUGGCUAUGAAAUUGAAGAGGCGGCCAGAGGAGGUAGUGAGGGAGCUGCUCCUUCAUCCUCCCCUCCAUACUGUCGGUAAUACAUUAUUUUCUCUCAUAGAUUUAAAGUGAUUUUUUCUGUUGUUGCAAAGCAUGGUUAUUUAAAAAGCUGCAACCCAGUAACUUUGAUUUUCACAGGCUACUCUGCCUUCUGCGUCUACCUUGCUGUAUAAGAGACCAGUCAGCACUAUGUAUACCAAUGAUAACCACACACAUGAAUUCUGAUUUGUGCACAAGGAAGCUCACAAAUUUGUGUCCAUCCUUUUCGUAGUAAUCAUAUGGCUUGCAUAUUUUAUCAGACUGAUCAUAGUCACGAAGAUCAGACAGAUAAUAUUAGGUAGAGAAGAUCAGAAGAAACAUUUAUAUCAUAUUUUUUUAUGCUUUUUCUGUAGAAAAGGUACCAUGGGUUGAUUGUGUUGGAUCCCAUUACUAUAUGAUGUAUUUGACUGCUAUUCCUAAGAACUGCUCCUGGACACAGUGCUCUAUGUUGACAUGCCUUACAUUUUAUUGUGUCGCCUAUCUGUAUAUUUACUCGGAUCUUACAUUUUUGUAUUUUUGUCAAUGCAGGUGUGUUCUUCCUACUAUAAAGCAACAUGGAUUUCUUUAAAUUAAAUUGUGCAUAUUGUGGAAAAUAAAUCUUGUGUGUCUAUAGUCAUGUUCAUCUGUCACCAAUCCAUGGUGAAAUAAACAGGAGAAAACAUGCUUGCAGAAGUUGUCAAGAGGCUCCAUUUAACCAUCAAAGACCAUGAGACCUACCAAUCGAGUGAUAGAGAUGGACACAAUCUCUCCUUGUGGAAGAACAAUGUAUCAAUUGCCAACAAAUCCAAACAUUUCAUCCUAUCUUACCAUGUAGUACUAACAUAACUGCAAUGUAUCGCUUGUGUCAAAAACUAUUUGAAUCGCGUAUAUGGCUAUCUAUGAUAUCAAAU
Molecule: long non-coding RNA, 3414 nt
Organism: Triticum aestivum (bread wheat)
Lineage: Eukaryota; Viridiplantae; Streptophyta; Magnoliopsida; Poales; Poaceae
Exons: 7
Source: RefSeq, a predicted model, not a curated record